This 500-nucleotide ribosomal RNA is filed under the name uncultured bacterium. RNAcentral's name for it is "partial 16S ribosomal RNA". It matches the Rfam family "Bacterial small subunit ribosomal RNA", at positions 28 to 507 of the family's 1533-position model. The record is from RNAcentral.
GACGAACGCUGGCGGCGUGCUUAACACAUGCAAGUCGAACGGGUCUGCCCUGUUUUUUUCGGGGUGGGUCAGUGGCGAACGGGUGAGUAACACGUGAGUAACCUGCCCCUCACUUCUGGAUAACCGCUUGAAAGGGUGGCUAAUACGGGGUGUUCUGGCUGUGCCGCAUGGUGUGGCUGGGAAAGAUUCACUUUUGUGGUGUUUUGGUGGGGGAUGGGCUCGCGGCCUAUCAGCUUGUUGGUGGGGUGAUGGCCUGCCAAGGCUUUGACGGGUAGCCGGCCUGAGAGGGUGGGCGGUCACACUGGGACUGAGAUACGGCCCAGACUCCUGCGGGAGGCAGCAGUGGGGGGUAUUGCACAAUGGGCGGAAGCCUGAUGCAGCGACGUCGCGUGAGGGAUGGAGGCCUUCGGGUUGUGAACCUCUUUCGCCGGUGAAGAAGGUCCUGCUCUUUGUGGUGGGGUUGACGGUAGCCGGGUUAUGAAGCGCCGGCUAACUACGUG